This 521-nucleotide unclassified non-coding RNA is filed under the name Hevea brasiliensis (rubber tree). Lineage: Eukaryota; Viridiplantae; Streptophyta; Magnoliopsida; Malpighiales; Euphorbiaceae. The record is from RNAcentral.
GGAUAUCUCAGGUUUUGCCUUUUUAUUAAAUGUAGGAUAUAAUUGCCUUUCUGGGUUUCUGCUUUGUGAUUUCUAUCUGAAGGGCUUUCAAAGGAGUGUUUGUUGAUAUUUGACAUGAUUUGAUGGUUAUAUUUUUACUUUUCCGUCCCGCUUUGCUUAAAGGAUACUUUAUCUUCUCUUGAUUUCACUAUACCAGAAUUUUUUUUAUCUUACCUAGAAAGGAAUUUGUUUGAAAAACAAGUUUUAUGUGAAUAAUUCAACAAGGAAAAAGUGAUGGUUGUGGCAGUUUAAGACUGCAAUCAAAAUGAAAUUUUCGGUUUCCUUUUCCAUUUUCCUGCUUUCAUUUAUUACUCUUAUCAACACAUGGUUGUUUAGCAACUCUUAUCAGUGUUGUUAAUGGUUUAAAUGCUUUCUUGAUUGAAUAUUCAGUGGUUAAGUAUUGUUGUUGUCAUUGUUAUUGACAAUUGCUUAUUAGUUACGGGGAUUACUGUUUGUUUGUUUCUGUUUAUGAGUCUUAUCUG